GACGUAGGGGGCCAGCGUUGCUCGGAAUUACUGGGCGUAAAGGGUUCGUAGGCGGUGCGGCAAGUUGGGAGUGAAAUCUCUGGGCUUAACCCAGAGGCUGCUUCCAAAACUGCCGCGCUUGAGUACGGGAGAGGCGAGUGGAAUUGCAGGUGUAGCGGUGAAAUGCGUAGAUAUCUGCAGGAACACCCGUGGCGAAAGCGGCUCGCUGGACCGUAACUGACGCUGAGGAACGAAAGCUAGGGGAGCAAACAGG
This 253-nucleotide ribosomal RNA is filed under the name uncultured bacterium. RNAcentral describes it as "partial 16S ribosomal RNA". It matches the Rfam family "Bacterial small subunit ribosomal RNA", at positions 524 to 776 of the family's 1533-position model. The record is from RNAcentral.